AUGGUAAGCAGUGUUGUUGUUGAACAACGCAUGGAGGAUGUUCCCGGGAAGCCACAGCCCGCAGUGGUCAUCCACCGUCUUGAUGGUCGCAAAAGAGAAAAAGAAUAUGGAUGUUCGUGGUGUCAUACCAGAGAGGAGGAAGGAGAGAGCACCGCCAAUAGUGUCCAGAAUAAGGCCCUCAAGAGGGUGGUUGUAAAGAGCCCCAAAGGAAUAAGGGACUACAAGAGUGUGGUGCUUGGAAUGGAUGUGCUUAUACAGAAACUUGUUGAUGUGCAUGUAUCUGUGCAUGAAGUACUGCCAUGUGUCCAUGACAAACAUCGCGAUGAUAAAUUGCAGCGCUAUCACCACAGCAGAAGGCUGCUUCGGUGCAAUACCACUCUCAUCACCAAUAACCUGCAGUUCAAGAAAAUUUAA
This 414-nucleotide ribosomal RNA is filed under the name Triticum aestivum (bread wheat). Its description in RNAcentral is "partial small subunit ribosomal RNA". The record is from RNAcentral. Lineage: Eukaryota; Viridiplantae; Streptophyta; Magnoliopsida; Poales; Poaceae.